This 253-nucleotide ribosomal RNA is filed under the name uncultured bacterium. RNAcentral's name for it is "partial 16S ribosomal RNA". It matches the Rfam family "Bacterial small subunit ribosomal RNA", at positions 524 to 776 of the family's 1533-position model. The record is from RNAcentral.
UACGUAGGGUGCGAGCGUUGUCCGGAAUUAUUGGGCGUAAAGGGCUCGUAGGCGGUCUGUCACGUCGGGAGUGAAAACUCAGGGCUUAACCCUGAGCCUGCUUCCGAUACGGGCAGACUAGAGGUAUGCAGGGGAGAACGGAAUUCCUGGUGUAGCGGUGAGAUGCGCAGAUAUCAGGAGGAACACCGGUGGCGAAGGCGGUUCUCUGGGCAUUACCUGACGCUGAGGAGCGAAAGUGUGGGGAGCGAACAGG